CCUACGGGUGGCAGCAGUGAGGAAUAUUGGUCAAUGGACGAGAGUCUGAACCAGCCAAGUAGCGUGAAGGAUGACGGUGCUAUGGGUUGUAAACUUCUUUUAUCAAGGAAUAAAACGAGGCUCGAGUGCCUGUUUGCAUGUACUUUAUGAAUAAGCAUCGGCUAACUCCGUGCCAGCAGCCGCGGUAAUACGGAGGAUCCGAGCGUUAUCCGGAUUUAUUGGGUUUAAAGGGAGCGUAGAUGGGUUGUUAAAUCAGUUGUGAAAGUUUGCGGCUCAACCGUAAAAUAGCAGUUGAUACUGGCAGUCUUGAGAACAGUAGAGGUAAGCGGAAUGCGUGGUGUAGCGGUGAAAUGCUUAGAUAUCGCGAAGAACCCCGAUUGCGAAGGCAGCAUACUAAACUGGGACUGACAUUGAGGCACGAAAGUGUGGGUAUCGAACAGGAUUAGAUACCCGAGUAGUC
Molecule: ribosomal RNA, 460 nt
Filed under: uncultured bacterium
Lineage: Bacteria
Description: partial 16S ribosomal RNA
Rfam family: Bacterial small subunit ribosomal RNA
Source: RNAcentral